Long non-coding RNA from Esox lucius (northern pike), 1025 nucleotides. NCBI's taxonomy places the organism in Eukaryota, Metazoa, Chordata, Actinopteri, Esociformes, Esocidae. The record is from Ensembl.
GAGACCGAACCCCCAUUUCUUACUCAAAUGGUCGGUGCCAUAUUGUUUCUCACGGCAGCAGCCCGAAAGACGUUAGGUAGCUUACUCAUUCAGUCAGCCGGAGUCCGCUACACCACACAAGAUGGAGAACAACAUUUAAAAAAUAUGAACCGCCCGUAUGUCAGCGGGGCAGAAAAAAGGAAGGAGGAAAAUAGCGUCAUGACGUGUUCUGUAGUUUUGUUCCCGGAGGAGGAUGACUGUGUGUGGCAAUAGUUCCACACCUGUGGCUCAAAGGGGGAGUUUGCUACUGGUGACCACACAGCAUCACCAGCCGGAAGUCCUUCAGCCACGACAAGUUUGCCAGAACUUGUUUACCACCUAAAGAUACCUGGGAGGCUGUCCUUUAUGAGCUCAUCAAGCAUGCAGACACGUGAGAGACCGGACGUGUAUAUCGCCAGAGAAGCGAAAAUCGUUCCAGCGUGGGCCCCUCCCACCCCAAGGACGCAAAUCUACACCACAACACCCUGUGGAUUGCAGCCCUGGAACAAGCACAGUACUCCAAGGCACCAGGGAGGUACUCCACGCCGCCAUGAAGAGGAGCACUACAUAGAUCAUUUGGAGAAGAUCAAGUGGCUGACUGAAGAGAAGGUCGAGCUGAGGGCACAGCUGGCUCUACAAUCAGGAAGAAUCCUUCCAACCGGGAUGCCACUGACGAGGCUGUUCAGAACCAGGUCCCCAGGUACCAGAAAGGGGCAGUUGACCGUGCAGGUGGGAGAAGACGUCACGGCUGUACCAGGGACCUGCCAUGAAUAUGAAUGACAUCUCCAGCACAACCAAUAUUGCUGCUAAUCUAUGUUGUGGAAAUUCUGAAACCUGAUGCAUUCUUAAUGAUUAAAGGACUGAGUCCCCUUGUUUAGAUAAAUAGAUGAGUGUGGGAGAGGGGAUCUGGUAUAUGUCUUAGGGGGCAUUCUUGAUUGGUCACAGUAGAGUAUAGGGUUAAUCAUCUACCUAUUUGUAGGUUGUCCAGAUGAAGUCCCCCUCAAGGG